UUUCUUAAAAUAACUCCCCUAAUUUUUAUUAUAUAUACAUGUUCCAAAGCCUCAUCCUCAAAUACGGUUUAGAUUUCUUAAACCUAUAGAAAUAUCAAUUUUCAAAAUUGAACCUCAAAACAUAACCAUGUUGAACAAUCUCAAUCCUUUGUCAAACAACUAUACACUCAAGUUGAAGAUCAUUUCCCUUUGGAGGAAAAUGAUGCACGGCCGUCCGACUGAAACUUACCGUGUCGACAUGAUAUGUAUGGAUGAAGAGGGUCAACAGAUUUAGGGUAGUUGUAUGCAUAGGAUUUUCCCAAGGCUUCAGGACAGCUCUGGAUGAAUGUCUUCUGAUAACCAGACAAUCACUUGCACCCAACAAUUCAACCUAUAACUACACCAAAAAUAAUCAGAAGUUAACUUUCAGUUUUUUCACCCAGAUUCAAAAAAGUCAAGAUUGGAACGGGCCUAAGUAUAACUUCAAUUUUAUGAAUUUCAAGGACGUUGUCCAAAAUUGAAUUGAAGUUAAUACCACUGUUGGUAUGUCAUUUAAUUCAACAUGUUUUA
This 549-nucleotide long non-coding RNA is filed under the name Helianthus annuus (common sunflower). Lineage: Eukaryota; Viridiplantae; Streptophyta; Magnoliopsida; Asterales; Asteraceae. The record is from RNAcentral.